This 769-nucleotide ribosomal RNA is filed under the name uncultured Atheliales. Its description in RNAcentral is "eukaryotic LSU rRNA". The stretch from base 253 to 407 matches the Rfam family "5.8S ribosomal RNA". Lineage: Eukaryota; Fungi; Basidiomycota; Agaricomycetes; Atheliales. The record is from RNAcentral.
UCGUAACAAGGUUUCCGUAGGUGAACCUGCGGAAGGAUCAUUGAUGAAUUGUAUGGCCUGGGUUGUGCUGAUCCUUUGGAUACCGUGCACGCCUUUGCCCCUUCAAUUUCAAUCUUUAUACCCCUGUGCACCUACCGCAAGGUUGUCUCUCCGGAGCAAUCUUGCCUCCUUUGUCACAUAAAUGCUUGCAAGUCAUAGAGUGUUGUUUUGUUACAUCUUCGCUGUAAAAAGCGUGGGUAAAUAAACCUUUACAACUUUCGACAACGGAUCUCUUGGCUCUCGCAUCGAUGAAGAACGCAGCGAAAUGCGAUAAGUAAUGUGAAUUGCAGAUUUUCAGUGAAUCAUCGAAUCUUUGAACGCACCUUGCGCUCUUUGGUAUUCCGAGGAGCAUGCCUGUUUGAGCGUCAUUAAAUUCCUCAACCCUGAGAGGGAAAAUCAUUUUCCCGAUUCGGAGGCUUGGAUGGUGGAGUGUGCCGGAUCCCUUGUUUGCAUUCGGGUCGGCUCCUCUGAAAUGCAUUUGCAGAAUUGGCUUUGCCCAUAUUUUGGUUUAUCGAUGUGAUAAUAUUGUUGCAUCGUUGACCUGGGGGGAAACAGCAGUUUGCAUUAUAAUAAUAAACUGUCUUCGGACGGUGGCUCAACCUUGACCUCAAAUCAGGUAGGUAUUACCCGCUGAACUUAAGCAUAUCAAUAAGCGGAGGAAAAGAAACUAACAAGGAUUCCCCUAGUAACUGCGAGUGAAGCGGGAAAAGCUCAAAUUUGAAAUCUGACG